Non-coding RNA from Cinara cedri, 438 nucleotides. The record is from the annotation of a GenBank genome assembly. NCBI's taxonomy places the organism in Eukaryota, Metazoa, Arthropoda, Insecta, Hemiptera, Aphididae.
AGUACGAAGUUUUAUUUAUCAGUAUAAUUAUACUACUAUAGCGUGUAAAUCCCAACGACACGAGUAUAUUCGAUCGGAAAAAUAUUGCAAAAACGGGUUUAUUUAUAACGAUUUUUUUUUUUUUUAACGAAUGAAAUUUAACCGUAGAAUUCAAUUUUUUGUGCGUUCGAAUUCGUGCGGAUUUGGGGGGAGGGAGAAUCCGGAUUUUAAAGCCGACGGACUUUCGGUAUAUUUCGGAUUAUGAACUUUGACUACUUUGGCCGAUCCAGAUUUGUCGUCACUAUAUAUACCAAAUGUACGGGUGAUGACGCGUUAUAAUAUACGCACACGAAUUCAACAGGUGGACGUCGGAAUACGGGGAAUUAUAAUCGUAUACCGGCGUUGCGAUUUCCGUUCGGCCAAUAAUUGGGGUUAUGUUCGGACGUGCUCGAUUGUUUC